GAAACACCCCUAUGGAGGACUUGCUUCAGUGGGGCUUUGGUGCUCACUGAGUCUGCCCCUUGAGUGUGUCACU
This 73-nucleotide microRNA precursor is filed under the name Myotis brandtii (Brandt's bat). RNAcentral describes it as "mir-9229 microRNA precursor family". It matches the Rfam family "mir-9229 microRNA precursor family". The record is from Rfam by way of RNAcentral. Lineage: Eukaryota; Metazoa; Chordata; Mammalia; Chiroptera; Vespertilionidae.